CCACGGCUAAACCACAUUAUUUCUGCAGACUGACUCUCUCCAGUGUUCACUCGCUCGUGUGUUUCCACAGUAUUGGACAGUAACACCUUCAUGGUGGGAGGAGACAAGAACAGCCGCAGGAAGUCGAGGUUAACUCUACACUGUGAGGCCUGGGGUCAAAGGUCAACACAGGGCUAAUUGAAUCAUACAGAGUCUGGUGGGGUCUCAUGGACGACAGUGUUUACUGAGGUUAAAGAUUCCUCACCGUCCGUGAACGCUCUGAUGAAGGUCCAGAUGAUCGUCGGCUCUUUAAUGACAAUAAACAGAACUUCAGAUUUAAGGUGGUAUGAUGAACUUUGAAAAUUAAGGUACUAUGAUAAACUCUCAGAUUUAAGGUAGUAUGUUACUUUUGAGAUUGAAGGUAGAAUGAUAAACUCCCAGAUUUAAGGUAGAGUUACAAACUCCCAGAUUUAAGGUAGUAUGAACAAAUUUGAGAUCUAAGGUAGUAUGAUAAACUCUUAUAUUUAAGGUGGUAUGACAAACUUUCAGAUUUAAGGUGGUAUGAUAAAUUUCCAGAUUUAAGGUAGUAUGAUAAACUCUUCUAUUUAAGGUGGUAUGAUAAAGUCUUAUAUUUAAGGUGGUAUGAUAAACUCUUGUAUUUAAGGUGGUAUGAUAAAUUUCCAGAUUUAAGGUGGUAUGAUAAACUCUUAUAUUUAAAGUGGUAAGAUAAACUCUUGUAUUUAAGGUGGUAUGAUAAAUUCUUAUAUUUAAGGUGGUAUGAUAAACUCUUCUAUUUAAGGUGGUAUGAUAAACUCUUAUAUUUAAGGUAGUAUGAUAAACUCUUAUAUUUAAGGUGGUUUGAUAAACUCUUAUAUUUAAGGUGGUAUGAUAAACUCUUAUAUUUAAGGUGGUUUGAUAAACUCUUAUAUUUAAGGCGGUAUGAUAAACUCUCCUCCGUCAGCUGAUGGAUGAGAAAUCCGCGUUCUGGUGUCAGAGUUUGCACAAACGUCCUGCUGCGGUCAGGAGCUUCAGAUCCUCUCAGGUCUGUGGAGAGAAAACAAACUCCAGCUGGUUUCAGAAGAUUCACUCAUAGAGGACAGUUG
Non-coding RNA from Xyrichtys novacula (pearly razorfish), 1082 nucleotides. Lineage: Eukaryota; Metazoa; Chordata; Actinopteri; Labriformes; Labridae. The record is from the annotation of a GenBank genome assembly.